UACGAAGGGGGCUAGCGUUGCUCGGAAUCAUUGGGCGUAAAGGGUGCGUAGGCGGGGCUUUAAGUCAGGGGUGAAAUCCUGGAGCUCAACUCCAGAACUGCCUUUGAUACUGAGAAUCUUGAGUUCGGGAGAGGUGAGUGGAACUGCGAGUGUAGAGGUGAAAUUCGUAGAUAUUCGCAAGAACACCAGUGGCGAAGGCGGCUCACUGGCCCGAUACUGACGCUGAGGCACGAAAGCGUGGGGAGCAAACAGG
Molecule: ribosomal RNA, 253 nt
Filed under: uncultured bacterium
Lineage: Bacteria
Description: partial 16S ribosomal RNA
Rfam family: Bacterial small subunit ribosomal RNA
Source: RNAcentral